AACGCACAUUGCGCCCGGCAGUAAUCUGCCGGGCAUGCCUGUCCGAGCGUCAUUUCUGCCCUCGAGCGCGGCUGCCUUUCGGGGCUGCCGCUGCCCGGCGUUGGGGCGCUACGGGAAGCCUCGCGCUAUCCCCCGUAGGCCCCGAAAUGAAGUGGCGGUCCUGCCGCGGCGCCCCCUGCGUAGUAUUACAGCUCGCAUCGGGACCCGGUGGAGACCAGCCGUCAAACCAUACUUUCUAAGUUUGACCUCGGAUCAGGUAGGGUUACCCGCUGAACUUAA
RNAcentral lists this unclassified non-coding RNA (279 nucleotides) under uncultured fungus. Its description in RNAcentral is "partial contains 5.8S ribosomal RNA, internal transcribed spacer 2, and large subunit ribosomal RNA". Lineage: Eukaryota; Fungi. The record is from RNAcentral.